RNAcentral lists this ribosomal RNA (479 nucleotides) under uncultured bacterium. RNAcentral describes it as "partial 16S ribosomal RNA". It matches the Rfam family "Bacterial small subunit ribosomal RNA", at positions 28 to 523 of the family's 1533-position model. The record is from RNAcentral.
GACGAACGCUGGCGGCGUGCUUAACACAUGCAAGUCGAGCGAUGAAGCACCUUCGGGUGUGAAUUAGCGGCGAACGGGUGAGGAACACGUGAGAAAUCUGCCUUCAACACUGGGAUAACUCCGGGAAACCGGGGCUAAUACCGGAUAUUAAACCUGCGGGCAUCCGCGGGUUUGGAAAGUUUUUCGGUUGAAGAUGAUCUCGCGGCCUAUCAGCUUGUUGGUGGGGUAAUGGCUCACCAAGGCGACGACGGGUAGCCGGCCUGAGAGGGCGACCGGCCACACUGGGACUGAGACACGGCCCAGACUCCUACGGGAGGCAGCAGUGGGGAAUAUUGGGCAAUGGAGGAAACUCUGACCCAGCGACGCCGCGUGCGGGAUGAAGGCCUUCGGGUUGUAAACCGCUUUCAGCAGGGAAGAAGCGAAAGUGACGGUACCUGCAGAAGAAGCACCGGCUAACUAUGUGCCAGCAGCCGCAGUAA